CGUACUCGAAGGCACCAGGAAAACAGACUUUAAGCUGCUUGCAGAGAAAAACAACCCGGUCUCAAGGACGGAAGGCAUCAUGUCAAGUUACCUCUUUAAUUCAAAGCAGAGGGUUUGGAAGGAGCUCCUUAAGCAGGGUUGUACCAGAUAACAUACAACCAAGCUGGAGCUGAUAAGCCCUCUGGAAUCCUGAGCCAAAAGAGAGAUCCCAUCCUUGGACCUCAGGAUCUGCUGGUGAAAAGCCUUGGGGUUACGACGCCAGCUCUUGGAGCCCAGCCCCGUUCCUGCACAUGAGUUGUUACUCCUGGGACCCGGCUCCUUCCCUGCACACGCGUCUCAGCGGUGAGCGGAUGCUGGCUCAGAAAGAUGCCGCGGGGUGUGUGGAACAUCCACACUCCAUCACCCACCGAGAGUCCGCCAUCCCCCAUCUCCCGCACGACCCCCUCCAGCCUGCUGGGAGGCCACACAGAGGACUUGGGUUUAGCCCAGACCUGGCCUCUGCCAUCACUGACAGGCCCUUGGGGAGGCAGCGUGGGGCUGCAUCCAUCCAUCCGGGUGGUGGCUCCCUCCCUCCCUCCGUGCGGUCGGCAUUCCGCUCAGUCACAGACCUGGGGUCUCGCAGGGGUGUCCGCUGUCCAGGCCUGUCCUGACCCAUCGUGGAGCCAGUCAGGGGCAGAAGCCACCCGCUGGGCCGGCCGGCUCUGGGACCUUGGGCCCCGGCUGCCCAGCUGGGCUGCUCUCAAUCUGGGCUGCCAAGAGCUGGGGACAAUGGCCUCAUGGAACUCGGGUCUAGUCCUCGUACCAGCAGGAACCCAGAUGGGCCCCAUUCCCAACCGCCGUGGUCUCUGUCAGACACACACAGACACACACACAUACUCACACACGGCACAGAUGCACGCACACACUCCAGUUGCCUUCCAAGCACAGCACCAGAGCAGUCAGCAAUGCUGGACCCCACUUACCAGGACUCUGGCCCAGAUGGGGGCCCCCUCGCCUCCCCCACUCGGUCCCCACGCCCUUGUGCACGUGGCCUCCCCCCCAUGCUGUUCCUUCCAGCUCCGACCUCUUAGUGCCUCUGGGACCGACUGAGGAAGAGCAUCCGUUUCCCGAGCCCCGUUUCCCUCUGUCCCUGACCCGAGCCUUCCUCCUAACCCACAGGAUGUAUUUCUGCAUCCUUCCCGGAGCAGUGAUGUCUGUGUACAAACUCCCCCAAACCCCUGGCAGGGUUCUGGAGGCUGCUUUCUCGGCCACUGAAGACAGCUCCCUGGAGGCCUGGUCUGCACUCUGUAAGGCCAGAAGUUAUCCAGUCCCCGAGACUGCUGCUGUUUCUGCCAGUUUUACUGUGGCCAGAGGCUGGUGGCCGGCUGGCACCUCACCAGCCCCACACAAGCAGCACCGAUGUUGCGAGGAUGCUGUGGGGAGGAGCCUGAGGACCACGUUCCAGAAGCCGCACCAGCAUCGAGUUGUAAGAACAGUACCAAGAACUCCUACCUGUUCUGUACCCAGUUCUCCACUGUUAACAAUGACCACAUUUACUUUAUCACUAUUAAUAAGUGCAUAGGUUUAAUGUAAUCUCCCCAAAUGACCUAAAGAGCUUCCUUCCUUCACAAACAGACAAGCAAAUUCACUGAAAAUAAGCAAGUAAGCACAGUCCAGCAAGACUCUAAAGCAGAAGAGAAAAAAAAAAGAGAGAGAGAGAAAUAAAGCAGAAGAGAGAAACAAGGAGAGAUUGGUCUCCCCGGUUCUUAAAACCCUCACAAGGCCUUGGUGAUUAAUACAGAAUAUGAAUAGACACACAGCCCACUGGAACAGCAGAGAAAGUCCAGAAAUAGCCCUGAGUGCCCAUGGGACAUUAAUAUAUGACAAAUGGGGUCAAAAGAGGAUUUUGUGGUAAACAGCGUAGGGACCAGUGGCUGGUUGUUGGGGGAAGGGAAGCGGGGACCACCCAGAGUCCAUCCAGAGAGACCCCAUGGUAAAGUUGUCAAUUGGAAAGUAAGCCCCUGCAAGUGCUGCCAGAGGGGUCUGUAAGUGGGCCUGAUCUAUGCCCCCUGCGUCCACCACACAGAGUUCAGACCCCUCGCUCCCUCAUUCUGGGCCCUGGACUGCUGUCCACGGGGACACCACCCGCAGCAGGCUUCUCCCAGCGUGGAGCUACGGCCAGACAGGGAGGUGCGAGGAACGUGAGGGUGGGGUGCUCGCUCCUGGUCCCCCCAGACGGGGGCCCCUCUCUAGGCAGCCUGGUCUACACGUUCCCUCCCUGCAGGCUGCAUGACUCCUCCACCCCGGGGGGCCCAGGGUGAUGGCCUCUCUUGCUGCAGGGCCCCCAUUCUCACCUCUGGGCCCCCCAACACUUGCCCAGGCCCUUGUCAUUAGUCGCUUUGUAUGCAAUCCCCACUUGGGUCACCAGACUUUGAGUGUGCCCUGUAAUUCCUGUUGGGACUCUAAAUAGAAUAACCUUGGAGUUGACAGACAUAUGGAACUAGGUCUCAAAAUCCAGCAGCCAAAACACAGAGGUGAACAGCUGCAAGCAUAGAGACUUCCCGGGUGGUCCAGUGGUUAAGACUUCGCCUUCUAAUGCUGAAGGUGCCUGCUCGACCCCCAGUUGGGGAGCUGAGACCCCAGGGUGCCUCUCAGCCAAAGAGCCAGGACACAGAAAGAAGCAAUGUUGUAACAGAUUCAAGAGGGACUUUGAAAAUGGCCCCCAGUUUAAAAAAACUGCAAAUGUGAGCAGCAGCCACUUCCAUACAGAAAACCAAACCAAACCGCAACCCAGAAGGGAAAGCGAAAAGGGCAGAACCUGGGAAACUGCACCUCCCGACACAGAGAAGCGUUUUUCUCCAAAAUACAUGAAGCGCUCUCAGAGAUGAAAGCAGAGAAGACCACAAGACCAACAGAAAAACAGGCCGAGGUCACAGGCGGUUCACAGAACAAGAAAUACACAUGGUUCAAAACACGUGCAAGCCUGACAGUCAGAGACGCCUGCAGUCAGUGCAGCAGGACGCAGGUCUCAUCGGCCAGCUGGGAAGGCGGUGGGAGUCUGACCAAGCACUCUGGUGUCGGGGGGCGAGGGUGCCCAGGUGCCCACGCUGUUGUCCUUUCUCAGUGGAUGUGCCCGCCUGCCUGUGAGGGGCACGGCCAGCAAGACCUCCAACGGCCUUUCCCCGACUCCGUGACCUGCUCCUGGGGCUACCCCUGACGCGGGGACACUGACCUCUGACCAGGUGGCUCCCUGUAGGAUUGUUUGUGAUUAUAAAACACGUGCAACCAGCAAGUGGCCAAACCCGAGCACCUGGCUAGGUAACCCGAUGACUUACCAGGGCCUGUCUCUGUGAGGAGGAAGAGGACGCUCCCUUGGAGCUAAAAGCAAAAUGUUCCCUGGGCACUUGGCUAGGUGAAAACAGAGUAAGUGCAAAAAGCAUGGUGCAUUUGGCGUGCCAACUCUGGGGUAAGAAGGUAGGAAAUAGGAACAUGCAUGUCUUUGGUCUUGAGUUUGCACAGAGAAGGGAGGCCGAAGGUAUAAGGAAAUUGGGGAGGACACAGAUGCGGGGUGGGGGCCAGGCCAGGUGGGAAGGAGGAGUCUCAGUGCCGACCUUCCUUACUGCUUCAGUCCAUGAACGGGUGCUUAUGCCCAAGGAUGGAGCGUAAAGGAGUCAAGGAUGCAGGGGAGAUGGAGAUAUCGACCACGCUGCAGAGUUUGAGAGAACGGUGGCCAUCCUCCGUGAGGGUGGCAGGGCCGCAGUCUCUGAGGUCAGAGGUGAAGAGUGUGGCACUUGGGAUAGAAGGGACCUCAGCUUGGACCUUGCUGUUUCUGCCUUCCUGCUGGACGCUGACCUGACCCCUCUGAGCUCAGUGUGCACGACUGGGCAAUGGGUCUCUCAGCCCUGAUGUCACAGGGUCCUGAGGAUGUCAUCGACGUCCUGGCAAAGCGCUGGCUCAUAGGAAAUACAAGACACUAUUGUUUCCAUAGCUUUUAGCAGAUGUGUUGAAAGGUUAGAGUUUAAUUGCCCAUGUGAACUCUUUUUACCAAAAAUUCUCCCUGGAAAAUGAAAUUGUUGUCUUCCAAAUAUACACUGAGUCUUCUGUUUUGAGAAGCGUGGCUGAGGGCUCUUUGCUCACUGUGACUCCAACAUUUAACAAGUGCAUCCAGCAUGGAAACUUAUACAUGACCACGUGUAAAACAGACAGCCAGUGGGAAGCUGCAGUGUAACACUGGGAGCUCAGGUAAGUGUGGGCUUCCCGAUAGCUCAAUUGGUAAAGGAUCCGCCUGCAAUGCAGGAGACCCUGGUUUGAUUCCUGGGUUGGGAAAAUCCACUGGAGAUGGGAUAGGCUACCCACUCCAGUAUUCUUGGGCUUCCCUUGUGGCCUGGCUGGUAAAAGAAUCCGCCCGUAAUACAGGAGACCUGGGUUCGAUCCCUGGGUUGGGAAGAUACCCUGGAGAAAGGAAAGGCUACCCACUCCAGUAUUCUGGCCUAAAGAAUUCCAUGGACUCUAUAGUCUAUGGGGUCACAAAAAGUCGGAUACAACAGUGACUUCACGGUUGAUUCACAUUGUU
This is a long non-coding RNA of Dama dama (fallow deer), 4552 nucleotides long. RefSeq lists it as uncharacterized. Lineage: Eukaryota; Metazoa; Chordata; Mammalia; Artiodactyla; Cervidae. The transcript has 3 exons. The record is from RefSeq and is a predicted model, not a curated record.